RNAcentral lists this ribosomal RNA (253 nucleotides) under uncultured bacterium. RNAcentral describes it as "partial 16S ribosomal RNA". It matches the Rfam family "Bacterial small subunit ribosomal RNA", at positions 524 to 776 of the family's 1533-position model. The record is from RNAcentral.
UACAGAGACUGCGAGCGUUAUUCGGAUUCACUGGGCGUAAAGGGUGCGUAGGUGGUGAGGUAAGUCGGAUGUGAAAUCUCCAAGCUCAACUUGGAAAUGGCAUUGGAAACUACCUUGCUGGAGGUUUGGAGGGGGGACUGGAAUUCUCGGUGUAGCAGUGAAAUGCGUAGAUAUCGAGAGGAACACCAGUGGCGAAGGCGAGUCCCUGGACAAAACCUGACACUGAGGCACGAAAGCUAGGGGAGCAAACAGG